This 597-nucleotide ribosomal RNA is filed under the name Knipowitschia sp. MPMV-2016. Its description in RNAcentral is "partial 16S ribosomal RNA". It matches the Rfam family "Bacterial large subunit ribosomal RNA", at positions 1804 to 2611 of the family's 2925-position model. Lineage: Eukaryota; Metazoa; Chordata; Actinopteri; Gobiiformes; Gobiidae. The record is from RNAcentral.
UUAUCAAAAACAUCGCCUCUUGUCAAACAAUAAUAAGAGGUCCCGCCUGCCCUGUGACCCCAAGUUUAACGGCCGCGGUAUUUUGACCGUGCAAAGGUAGCGUAAUCACUUGUCUUUUAAAUGAAGACCUGUAUGAAUGGCAUAACGAGGGCUAAACUGUCUCCUUUCCCCAGUCGAUGAAAUUGAUCUUUCCGUGCAGAAGCGGGAAUGAAUACAUAAGACGAGAAGACCCUAUGGAGCUUAAGACACAAGGCAGCAAACGUUAAGGCCCCUGGACCAACAGGCAUAACAAAGUUAGCCCCUGCCCUCUUGUCUUUGGUUGGGGCGACCGCGGAGGAAAGAAGAUCCCCCACGUGGAACAGGACAUGAUCCUCGAGAUCAGAGCCACAGCUCUCAUCAACAGAACAUCUGACCAGAAAGAUCCAGUAAUACCGAUCAACGGACCGAGUUACCCUAGGGAUAACAGCGCAAUCCCCUUUCAGAGCCCAUAUCGACAAGGGGGUUUACGACCUCGAUGUUGGAUCAGGACACCCUAAUGGUGCAGCCGCUAUUAAAGGUUCGUUUGUUCAACGAUUAAAGUCCUACGUGAUCUGAGUU